CCUACGGGCGACAGCAGUGAGGAAUAUUGGUCAAUGGGCUUACGCCUGAACCAGCCAAGUCGCGUGAGGGAAGACGGCCCUAUGGGUUGUAAACCUCUUUUGUCAGGGAGCAAGGCCGGCUACGUGUGGCCGGACGGAGAGUACCUGAAGAAAAAGCAUCGGCUAACUCCGUGCCAGCAGCCGCGGUAAUACGGAGGAUGCGAGCGUUAUCCGGAUUUAUUGGGUUUAAAGGGUGCGUAGGCGGAAGGUUAAGUCAGUGGUAAAAUCUCGGGGCGCAACCUCGCUCGGACGUUGAAACUGGUGUUCUUGAGUGGGCGAGAGGUAGGGGGAAUGCGUGGUGUAGCGGUGAAAUGCAGAGA
RNAcentral lists this ribosomal RNA (359 nucleotides) under uncultured bacterium. Its description in RNAcentral is "partial 16S ribosomal RNA". It matches the Rfam family "Bacterial small subunit ribosomal RNA", at positions 338 to 694 of the family's 1533-position model. The record is from RNAcentral.